Long non-coding RNA from Triticum aestivum (bread wheat), 1662 nucleotides. RefSeq lists it as uncharacterized. Lineage: Eukaryota; Viridiplantae; Streptophyta; Magnoliopsida; Poales; Poaceae. The record is from RefSeq and is a predicted model, not a curated record. The transcript has 7 exons.
CCGGUUGGCUGGAGAGUGGAUGGGGGAGUGCGGGGUCGUCGCUCCUCCCCCGCUCGCGCCGCACCCUCUCCUCUUCCUCCCGCCUCGCCUCUCUCCCUCCCUCCAAACCCUAGAGCCGCCCGCGCCUCCCUGCUCCGCCGCCGUCAUCUCCUUCGCCCGGCCGGCCGCCGCUGCACCGCACGCCCGUGCGUAGGGGCGAGAAGGAGAACCACCGCCCGCCCCCGGAGCGCGAGGAGGACGGCGCUAACGCCGAGAUCGCGCACAUCGAGCCCGAGAUCCUGCGCCUCUCCUUCAAUUUCCUCCACCUCCGCGUCUUCCGGGGCCACGACGCGCAGCCGAGCGGGACGGGGCCGCGGGCGAGGGGGGAGGCCUCGCCCCCCUUGAUCUGGACGGGGCCGCGGCCUGCCUACACCACCGCCAGCCCGCCGCCGCGACGCGCCUUGCAGGCCGACGCCUCCGCUGCCCCGCCACCGGUACAGGAGCCCAGCAGCUCCUCCCUCCCUGGAGGAGCUGCUCCCGCCCAACAGCGCCUUCCUCCCUGGAGCAGCCGCUCCCGCCUAGCAACGCCGCGGCCCGAAGUUGCGCCGGCGACCCGUCCAGAGGCAGUCGCAGAUGAUUGAUCAACAGACCUACCUAUGAAGGUAGAGUGGAAGAACUGGAAAUAAAGAUGCAGGGAAAGGACAAUGAUGCUGCAACAUCACUUGUUUCAUGGCAUAAAGAGACAGAGCUGGUUCAAGGGUAGAGCCAUAGAUUUAGCCUCUAAAAAUAGGCUCUGAACAAAUUUAACCACGAUAUGCACGCAAGGGCAGUGAUGUCUUUUACUACUUGAGAGGCCCAACAAGCCACUAGAUGCUACCAGCACUUCACAAGGACACAAAAUACCAACAGUGGAAGACACCUAAGGUAAAAAUUCAAAGGAAAGUACUAUUGCCGAGCCACCUUACCAUCACAAGUAUUUGCCUGAGCUCUGGUGAUUACUCCCAAGGAUUAGUCCAACAAAUACCAUUACUGAGGAGAACAGCAGCCUCGGCGCGGUGAUCAAGUCGCUCCUUAGCGCGGAUAAGUAGUGCCACCUGGCCAGCGGCAGAAAGUCCGCCGAUCGUCGGGAUCUGCUUCAUGGACGGCGCCUGGAAGAAGCUCAAUGACCAGACCAUCGUCCUCUCCAAGAGGAGGGGUCGGCUCAAGCAGUCAGACUUUGGCGAGCUGUGAAGAUUUUGCUUUUAGUCACAGAGAUAGGCUUCAAAUGUUAUCUACCUUGGUAAGGUGAUUCGUUGUCUUCAGCUGGUAUGUUUGAGCCUGUGCCAGGUUCAGUUAGCGAUAAUAACACCAACGGCUAAUUGUGAUAUUAUUUAUAGAGUUUUCAUAUUUAUCAUUAGGAUGAUGAAGCCUGUCAAGUAUUAUCCAAUACUAAUUAGCUUUGCCUCAGAACUUGGAAAGAGAAAGUAGAGUUAUCAAUAAUGAUCAGCUAUAAGGUACCAUUGAUAUCGAUGUUUCUAGAACAUCGUUUCUUUUGGUAUCCUGGGCCACAAGUACACUUUUCUUUUGGUAUAUAUUUGAUCUGCAUGCCCUAUAUUAAACUCGGUUAUCCUGGGCAGCAACUGUACCUUGCGCUUGAUAUAUCUUUGUAUUGUUUGUGAUAUAUACUGAACACAUUUAUCCUCA